CAGAACGAACGCUGGCGGCGUGCCUAACACAUGCAAGUCGGAUGCGAUCAUCAACGUCGGUUGGUUAGUAGCAUGGCAGACGGGUGAGGAGCACGCACCUGACCUGACACACGGAGGGGGAUAGUCCCCCGAAAGGGGGUUGAAUACCGCGUACGUUCGUCAAGGCAGCUUGAUGAGGAGAGGUGGCCUCUGCAUGCACGCUAUCGCCGUGUGAGGGGGGUGCGUCCUAUUAGCUGGCUGGUGGGGUAAUGGCCUACCAGGGCGACGAUGGGUUGCUGGUCUGAGAGGAUGAUCAGCCACACUGGGACUGAGACACGGCCCAGACUCCUACGGGAGGCAGCAGUGGGGAAUUUUGCGCAAUGGGGGGAACUCUGACGCAGCAACGCCGUGUGAGUGACGACGCCGUUCGCGGUGUAAAGCUCUGUGAGGCGGGACGAAGGCUCCGGGUGAAGAACCUGCGAGGGUGACGGUACCGCCACAGCAAGCCCCGGCUAACUCCGUGCCAGCAGCCGCGGUAAGACGGAGGGGGCGAGCGUUGUUCGGAAUUACUGGGCGUAAAGCGCCCGCAGGCGGUGACGUGAGUGUUUCGUGAAAGCCCCCGGCUCAACCGGGGACGGGCGAAGCAGACUGCGUGACUUGAGUGCUGGAGGGGGAGGCGGAAUUCCUGGUGGAGCGGUGAAAUGCGUAGAGAUCAGGAAGAACGUCAGUGGCGAAGGCGGCCUCCUGGACAGACACUGACGCUGAGGGGCGAGAGCGUGGGGAGCGAACGGGAUUAGAUACCCCGGGUAGUCCACGCCGUAAACGCUGGGCACUACGUGUGCGGGGUGGGAGAUCCACU
RNAcentral lists this ribosomal RNA (838 nucleotides) under uncultured organism. RNAcentral describes it as "bacterial SSU rRNA". It matches the Rfam family "Bacterial small subunit ribosomal RNA", at positions 25 to 840 of the family's 1533-position model. The record is from RNAcentral.